This 411-nucleotide long non-coding RNA is filed under the name Olea europaea (common olive). Its description in RNAcentral is "long non-coding RNA (OEUR_LNC006675)". Lineage: Eukaryota; Viridiplantae; Streptophyta; Magnoliopsida; Lamiales; Oleaceae. The record is from RNAcentral.
GACUUGGACUUGGGGUUACACCAUCAAAAGUAGAUGGAAAUGUACAAAGCAGUGAGAAAGUGAUAGAACUUGAGAGCAAAUUACAAACUCAAUCAGUAAGGAUGGAAGCACUCGAAGAAAAGGUUGAAGCACUUCUGAAGUUAUCUCAGGUUAUACUUUUCUAUUACAUAGAAUAUGAUAUCGUGCGUAGCUUAAUAUAUCUUAUCAUUUUAAUAAGUUUUAAGUUUUUGUAUUAUUUUACAGAAUGAAAAUAAAAAUGUGGACGACAUGAGUUCACGUGCUUUUACUCCACAGGUUUUUGUAUCAUAUAUUAUUUAUUAUUUGUUCAAUAUAAAUUCAGAUUAUAUCAUACUAAUUUUAAAAAUAUUUUUAUUUUAUUGCGAAUUUCUAGUCUCAACAAGCAAGUGGUAU